UACGGGGGGGAGCAAGCGUUGUUCGGAUUUACUGGGCGUAAAGGGCGCGUAGGCGGCCACCGCAAGUCGACUGUGAAAUCUCCGGGCUUAACCCGGAAAGGUCAGCCGAUACUGCGGGGCUAGAGUGCAGAAGGGGCAACUGGAAUUCUCGGUGUAGCGGUGAAAUGCGUAGAUAUCGAGAGGAACACCUGCGGCGAAGGCAGGUCACUGGGCCGCAACUGACGCUGAGGAGCGAAAGCAUGGGGAGCGAACAGG
Molecule: ribosomal RNA, 255 nt
Filed under: uncultured bacterium
Lineage: Bacteria
Description: partial 16S ribosomal RNA
Rfam family: Bacterial small subunit ribosomal RNA
Source: RNAcentral